Molecule: RNA transcript, 1722 nt
Organism: Peromyscus eremicus (cactus mouse)
Lineage: Eukaryota; Metazoa; Chordata; Mammalia; Rodentia; Cricetidae
Gene: Spata6l
Gene name: spermatogenesis associated 6 like
Exons: 14
Source: RefSeq, a predicted model, not a curated record
ACAAUCCAUAGCUUGUUGUGAGAUACCCGGCCCGGUGGGAGGGACCUGGGCUGGGGGGACUGAUGGGGUAACCAAGGGGUGGGGAGCCAGGGAAGCUUCUGGAAAACACUCGCCUUGAUGUAAACUAAAAUAAUUGGUUCAAGGCUCCGCACAAAAGGAUCUUGUCUUUCCGGCGCUUUCGCCCACACGGGGAAGGAUGCCUCUGGAGGUGGUGGUGGAGCUCCAAAUCCGGGCGAUUUCUUGCCCGGGAGUGUUCCUGCCGGACAAGGAAGGUGUAUACCUUGGAGUCUACCUCCUGAAUCAGUACCUGGAGACAAACUGCUUUCCCUCUGUGUUCCCUAUUGCGAUUCAACAGAGCAUGAGAUUUGAAAAGACAUUUGAAAAUGCAAUAGAUCCUGGAGCUGUUGCAGAAAUUUUAGAAAGCUUCCUAACCAGGUUUGAAUUGAUACAGCUAGUGUCUCCAGUAUGGGAAGAGCUGGCCUACUAUGAAGAAAACACACGUGACUUUCUAUUCCCCGAGCCCAAGCUGACAUCCUCACACCUUGGCAUGCAUAGAGAGGUGCUCAUGAAGACAGCAAUAGGUUUUCCAGGCAUUGCUCCCAAACUAGAGUUUUCUACAAGGACAGCCAUCCGAGAAUGUGUGUUCCCGCAUAAAAACAGAUUUUUCGAAGAGAAGUGUAAAUCACAAAGGCUUUUAUCGAAAUCACGUGGGCAAAGAGCUCCCACAAAUAACAGAAAAACAAAGCCCAAGGAGAAAAGUCCUGACCGAUUUCCCAAAGGCACACAGUCCCGGGUAACCUCCCCAUCUCCCCCCAGACGUCUCUACCUGCACCAGCCGACUCAGCUGAACCUUGGGAAAAGCUUCAGGCUCCCUGGAGAAAGAAAGCCUCCGUUUGUGGUUAGACAUGUGGACAGUGGUAACCCCUUUGGUGAAAACAGUUUGACACGUUUACAGAAGUCCAGAAGAAAAUCUAAGUUUUUGGACUUUGCUUUUCCAAUGAGAAAAGCAUCUUCUCUUGACAGCCUUGCACCAAACAUCAAGGUUACCAGAGAACCAGAUGAGCGAAUUGUUUUAAGGAGCCAGCCACCGCCACCUUUAGAUCCAAGGAAGUCCAGAAAACCCUCACCUUGUCACCAAGGGGAUGCCGAUUUCCAACCAAAAACUCCAGUUUCCACCCCCCAGCAUUCCAGAUCUACCAGCCCUCUGGAUCAGCCUCUUCUCCAAGAAAGGUUCCAGCCUUGUUCUCAGUCCACGUGGAAGAAGAUCCAUGAGAGGGUUCGCAGCCUUCUGCCAUCCCACAGAGCUCACCCAAAGGAAAAUUUCAUCUCUGAAACAAAGUAUAUCAAUGAAAGACCAAGCUACCCCCUGAAGAAAUACCCACUGCGUGAACAGAGAUAUUUUUAACUACUAUUUCAUGUCUAUGAAGUGUUUGAAGAUUACCUAUUCAUCUGACCUAUGUAUCUGUAAAUCUGGAGAACCUAACUAACAUAACUGUAGAAAUGACAAGCAUGGGUGACUAUAAAACUGGGAACAUGAAUGAAGCCUGAAGAAGGAUGAAGGCCUCUGUCAUCGAGACAUUGACACAUCCUUGGAGAAGUGAACAGCAUUCUUUGUGGUCUGGGUUGAGUUACUGGUGCCUAGCCCCCAUUAAAUCAAACCUUAUACUCAGUCUUUUGUGCCCAAGGUAAGAAUUGUUGAUUAAAUUCUGUUUGGGGCUCUCA